AAGAACCCUGUUCCCCAGGAACUGCCCCAACACCUCGAGCAGGUGCCUCCCCUCUCCAAUGAAGCCUCUCCCGUCCGCCCGGCCCAGAAACUGGGCAACUUACUGGUUUCGGCAUUUUCGGUUUCUGGGACACACUGCUGUUUGGGCAACCCUUUGUCAGGGCCUGUUAUCUCCCACUUGCAGAUCCAGGGCAUUUCAGAGGUCAGAGAGAGGAGGGAGGCCUCUUCUGAGAUUUUGACCUCUAUUCAGGUUCUACAUUCAUGGAAUCAGCCAACCUUGGAUGGAAAAGAUUUGGAAAAUAAUAAAAAUAAUACUACAAUUAAAAUACCAAUAAAAAUCCAAUACAGAAUAUAGUAUAACAA
This 362-nucleotide long non-coding RNA is filed under the name Homo sapiens (human). RNAcentral describes it as "EZR antisense RNA 1". The record is from RNAcentral. Lineage: Eukaryota; Metazoa; Chordata; Mammalia; Primates; Hominidae.